RNAcentral lists this ribosomal RNA (253 nucleotides) under uncultured bacterium. RNAcentral describes it as "partial 16S ribosomal RNA". It matches the Rfam family "Bacterial small subunit ribosomal RNA", at positions 524 to 776 of the family's 1533-position model. The record is from RNAcentral.
UACAUGGGGUGCAAACGUUGCUCGGAAUUAUUGGGCGUAAAGCGCGUGUAGGCGGUCUUUUAAGUCGAAUGUGAAAGCCCUCGGCUCAACUGGGGAAGUGCAUCCGAAACUGAAAGGCUUGAGUACGAAAGAGGGUCGCGGAAUUCCCGGUGUAGAGGUGAAAUUCGUAGAUAUCGGGAGGAACAUCAGUGGCGAAAGCGGCUUCCUGGUCCAGCACCGACGUUCAGGCACGAAAGCGUGGGGAGCAAACAGG